GACGAACGCUGGCGGCGUGCCUAAUACAUGCAAGUUGGGCGCUGAAGGUUGGUACUUGUACCAACUGGAUGAGCAGCGAACGGGUGAGUAACGCGUGGGGAAUCUGCCUUUGAGCGGGGGACAACAUUUGGAAACGAAUGCUAAUACCGCAUAAAAACUUUAAACACAAGUUUUAAGUUUGAAAGAUGCAAUUGCAUCACUCAAAGAUGAUCCCGCGUUGUAUUAGCUAGUUGGUGGGGUAAAGGCUCACCAAGGCGAUGAUACAUAGCCGACCUGAGAGGGUGAUCGGCCACAUUGGGACUGAGACACGGCCCAAACUCCUACGGGAGGCAGCAGUAGGGAAUCUUCGGCAAUGGACGAAAGUCUGACCGAGCAACGCCGCGUGAGUGAAGAAGGUUUUCGGAUCGUAAAACUCUGUUGGUAGAGAAGAACGUUGGUGGGAGUGGAAAGCUCAUCAAGUGACGGUAACUACCCAGAAAGGGACGGCUAACUACGUG
This 497-nucleotide ribosomal RNA is filed under the name uncultured bacterium. RNAcentral describes it as "partial 16S ribosomal RNA". It matches the Rfam family "Bacterial small subunit ribosomal RNA", at positions 28 to 507 of the family's 1533-position model. The record is from RNAcentral.